UUUCGUCCAAGUUGUUACUCUUCUAGUGUUCGUAGGCAACCUCUCCGGCCAUAAGUUAUUAGCCGUCAACAUCUUCACAUUAACAAGGUACUAAUAUUUAGCAAACGUGAUCCCUACGGUAGCUUGUUACUCAAAAUAAUUAUUGUCAAAGAACAUCAUUUUUUUAAUUUUUUUCAGGAUACUUUCACAUAUUUAGGAUGUACAUAAUAUGACUAUGGAGGAUAAUUUAGUCAAAAGACAUAAGCUAGUGAUAAUUUUUUUCUUAAAAUCACCGAUUACAACACAGACGCGCACACAAACACACAUGCACCACCAACGCACACACUCAUAUUACGCCUGCUGCAGACUAGAAUCGUGGAGUCUCUAGAUUGAUGAAGUCACCUUAUGCCUCGUUAUCGACAUGCACGUCAUCU
Molecule: long non-coding RNA, 413 nt
Filed under: Brachypodium distachyon (stiff brome)
Lineage: Eukaryota; Viridiplantae; Streptophyta; Magnoliopsida; Poales; Poaceae
Description: long non-coding RNA (BDIS_LNC003912)
Source: RNAcentral